This 514-nucleotide long non-coding RNA is filed under the name Bos taurus (domestic cattle). RNAcentral describes it as "long non-coding RNA NONBTAT006150". Lineage: Eukaryota; Metazoa; Chordata; Mammalia; Artiodactyla; Bovidae. The record is from RNAcentral.
GCAAAAUUAUUGUUUAUUUAGUAAGUGUGUUUUAGAGUAAAACUGAAACCCAAGAUGAUUAUUUCAUAGAUUGUCCAUUUAACGACAUAAUUGACCCUAAGUGUUCAACCAUACUGAACUGCCUAGUUCCAACGAACAGAAACACCCUCAGAGUCCAAGGCAGUCCUUUAAAACAUGGAUGAAUUCUUUCUUAGGAAAGCUAAGAGUCCCAGUGAAACACUGUAUGUAUGGUGACUGAAGGAGCCACAUUUCAUCAACACUCUUCUGUGUUCUGUGUUUUAUUUACAGCUAGCAUUUCAGCUCGUGAAUACACAGAAUACUGUCCAAAUAUUACUCAGCUUCAUUCACUUUCUGUGGUAAAGUUAUCUACAGAAAACAAAGACCACGUCUCUUUUCUGUAGAGAGAAACAGAAUCUCUCUCCCAUUCUUGUUUUCUUAUACAUCGCUCCACAGAAUCAUAGUCUAUAAUCAUAAUCUAUUAUUAAGAACAGCAGCCUAGCGAGGUCAACCUUGU